RNAcentral lists this ribosomal RNA (492 nucleotides) under uncultured bacterium. Its description in RNAcentral is "partial 16S ribosomal RNA". It matches the Rfam family "Bacterial small subunit ribosomal RNA", at positions 29 to 507 of the family's 1533-position model. The record is from RNAcentral.
AGUGAACGCUGGCGGUAGGCCUAACACAUGCAAGUCGAACGGCAGCACAGUAAGAGCUUGCUCUUACGGGUGGCGAGUGGCGGACGGGUGAGGAAUACAUCGGAAUCUACUUUUUCGUGGGGGAUAACGUAGGGAAACUUACGCUAAUACCGCAUACGACCUACGGGUGAAAGCAGGGGAUCUUCGGACCUUGCGCGAUUGAAUGAGCCGAUGUCGGAUUAGCUAGUUGGCGGGGUAAAGGCCCACCAAGGCGAUGAUCCGUAGCUGGUCUGAGAGGAUGAUCAGCCACACUGGAACUGAGACACGGUCCAGACUCCUACGGGAGGCAGCAGUGGGGAACAUUGGACAAUGGGCGCAAGCCUGAUCCAGCCAUACCGCGUGGGUGAAGAAGGCCUUCGGGUUGUAAAGCCCUUUUGUUGGGAAAGAAAAGCAGCAGGUUAAUACCCCGCUGUUCUGACGGUACCCAAAGAAUAAGCACCGGCUAACUUCGUG